This is a long non-coding RNA of Capra hircus (goat), 1002 nucleotides long. RefSeq lists it as uncharacterized. Lineage: Eukaryota; Metazoa; Chordata; Mammalia; Artiodactyla; Bovidae. The record is from RefSeq and is a predicted model, not a curated record. The transcript has 2 exons.
CGUCCAGGCUGGGCCGGGGAGACAUGGAGGAAGACCUGAUGAAACAGACCCUGAGUUCCCGGUGGGGCUCCGCUGUGUCGGGGCCUCGCCUCCCCAAGUACUUCACAUGCUUCAGCCAAGACUAAUCCCAACCUGAAUUCCCUUUAGAAUGUGGGGAAGUCAUCUUAACUCAUCUGGACUAAUACACAGGCAGGAUCAGAGAAGGAAGCUUCUGCUGUUUGUCAGCACUGAGCCGAGUUCUUAUCUAUUGUUUGAUCCUCAUCAGACCCUCGUGCUGGGUCUUGUCCUUGUUGAAAGAGACACGGCCCAGCUGAAAGACACACAGCCCAGCACCCGGCCACAGCUGCUCACACAGUGACCCUCCAAGAGGGGAGGGUGAGCUUGCAAUGCUGGAGGUCAACCCGGAUCUGGCUGGGGCUCACAUCUGCUCCUCCAGCCUCUUCACACUUGCUGGAAUAAGGGCAGGAGAAAACGCAGCAGAGAGAUCCGAGAAAGCCGUGGCUGGGGAUAAAACGAGAAGGAUGGAAAACACAACUCUCCACUCAAGAAGCCAAAUGAACUAGAAGCAAGACAGGUGCAAAGAGAUCGCUCCUUAGAAACAUCAAACUGGAAGAAACGGAAGGACACCAAAGACCAGCAGACGCUUACAUGCAGCCAAGAGAGAGGACAGGUCAGCUGAAAGGGCAGCACAGGUGGGUGACUCCCCACAGCCGUCUGCCCAGGCGUCCUUAUCAUCACCCUUCCCAGGACUUUUCAGACAAACCAAACACUUAGCAACACCAAGCUCCACCUAAACCUCUAAAGGAGGAACCCCAGGAGGAAGCAGAACGGUUUCAGAAAGUCUAAAAGGCAAGAUGAAAUAACAAAGAAAAUGAUAAACGAGUGAGACUCAACUCUGAAGAGUCAUAUUCAGUGUGCUGAGGGUGCAUGUCUAAGGGUGUCGGAGUGUGGGGAACACAAGGUGAUACAGAAAGAAAGCAAAACCCUUGUUUCUAUUUUGAA